CAACCUCAACUCAUAUGGGACUACCCCCUGAAUUUAAGCAUAUUAAUUAGGGGAGGAAAAGAAACUAACAAGGAUUUUCUUAGUAGCGGCGAGCGAAAAGAAAUCAGUUCAGCACUAAGUCACUUUGUCUAUAUGGCAAAUGUGAGAUGCAGUGUACGGAACAUCAACAUUCUAGUAUGAGAAGUUAACGAUUUAAGUCCUUCUUAAAUGAGGCCAUUUACCCAUAGAGGGUGCCAGGCCCGUAUAACGUUAAUGAUUACUAGAUGGUGUUUCCAAAGAGUCGUGUUGCUUGAUAGUGCAGCACUAAGUGGGUGGUAAACUCCAUCUAAAACUAAAUAUAACCAUGAGACCGAUAGUAAACAAGUACCGUGAGGGAAAGUUGAAAAGAACUCUGAAUAGAGAGUUAAAUAGUACGUGAAACUGCUUAGAGGUUAAGCCCGAUGAACCUGAAUAUCCGUUAUGGAAAAUUCAUCAUUAGAAUUGUAAUAUUUUAAACAAUAUUAUAAUAAUAGUGUGCAUUUUUUCCAUAUAAGGACAUUGUAAUCUAUUAGCAUAAAUAUUUAUCAUAAAAUUAUGUCUGAUUGCUUAUUUGAAUUAUAUGCUUGGCAUUUUAACAUAAAAUAAAAGAUAUAAAUUUGAUAAAGUGCUGAUAGAUUUAUAUGAUUACAGUGCGUUAAUUUUUCGGAAUUAUAUAAUGGCAUAAUUAUCAUUGA
RNAcentral lists this non-coding RNA (713 nucleotides) under Drosophila virilis. Its description in RNAcentral is "Eukaryotic large subunit ribosomal RNA". It matches the Rfam family "Eukaryotic large subunit ribosomal RNA", at positions 1 to 634 of the family's 3401-position model. The record is from Rfam by way of RNAcentral. Lineage: Eukaryota; Metazoa; Arthropoda; Insecta; Diptera; Drosophilidae.